UACGUAGGGCGCAAGCGUUGUCCGGAAUUAUUGGGCGUAAAGAGCUCGUAGGUGGUUUGUCGCGUCUGUCGUGAAAGCCCGGGGCUUAACUCCGGGUCUGCGGUGGAUACGGGCAGACUAGAGGCAGGUAGGGGAGAACGGAAUUCCCGGUGUAGCGGUGAAAUGCGCAGAUAUCGGGAAGAACACCCGUGGCGAAGGCGGCACUCUGGGACGGUACUGACGCUGAGACGCGAAAGCGUGGGGAGCGAACAGG
RNAcentral lists this ribosomal RNA (253 nucleotides) under uncultured bacterium. RNAcentral describes it as "partial 16S ribosomal RNA". It matches the Rfam family "Bacterial small subunit ribosomal RNA", at positions 524 to 776 of the family's 1533-position model. The record is from RNAcentral.